GUGUUUACAUCAGCAGCACAUAUACUAAAAUUAGGAUGAUACAGAGAGCAUGGCCCCAUGUGAAAGGAUAACACACAAAUUUGUGAAGCUUUCCAAAAAAAA
This is a small nuclear RNA of Peromyscus maniculatus bairdii (prairie deer mouse), 102 nucleotides long. NCBI's taxonomy places the organism in Eukaryota, Metazoa, Chordata, Mammalia, Rodentia, Cricetidae. The record is from Ensembl.